AAUUGAUGUGACUGAGACAUGACUAAAAUUUUGAGAUGUAGAUUUUAUAGUUAUUUAUUUUAAUUGAUAAAUGUUCUUCUCAAGUUAUAUAACUCUAUAUUACUGUUGCAAUAUAUUUGUCUACAUAUUUACUUUGUUUGGUUAUAUUUAUUAUAUCAUAUUAUAUGUUUGAUCAAAUCAUUACAUAGCAUUCAAAAAGAUGAGCAAAAAGGGUAAAAAGCAUAGCUUAGCAUCUGAAGAUGAAAUUCAGGAAACUAUAGCUAAUAGGUUAUCGAGAAUGGACGCUAACAAUUCAUCACAUGAUUUGCAUGGUGAAGAAUAAAUUAAUGAUGACAAAACUCAAAAGAAAAAGGGAAGGGGUACGUCCAAACUGAAAAUGGUUAAUGGCCAAGAUAAGUGCAAAGAGCUGGAGCGUAAUGAGUUAGGACAACCGAUUGGAGAUAAUUUGGUGAAGUACGCUUCUUUUCUAGGGUGCAUGAUAAAGGAAUUUGUUCCAUAUACAUUGGAUGGAUGGAAUGAAAUAGGUGAAGAAGUAAAGGAUAGGAUGUGGAGUUGUCUUCAGCUGAGUUAUAAAGUUGAAGAUUGAGAAAAGAAAGUAAUUUUUCAAAAGUUAGCUAAAUUGCGGCGUGAUAAAAAAUCCAAAUUGCAAAUACUUGUAAGAGAAGUUAAUACAGGUCGAGUGGCUUCACGAGAUCUCAAUCUUUC
This is a long non-coding RNA of Zingiber officinale, 705 nucleotides long. RefSeq lists it as uncharacterized. The record is from RefSeq and is a predicted model, not a curated record. The transcript is spliced from 3 exons. NCBI's taxonomy places the organism in Eukaryota, Viridiplantae, Streptophyta, Magnoliopsida, Zingiberales, Zingiberaceae.